GACCUUUAGGUUAUUGGCUAUGUAUAUAUAGCCUACUCUGUUUUAGUUAGUUUUAUGCUUUUCAGAUUAUAUUGUAAACCUUAGCCUUUCUUCCCUUCAAUAAAGUUCUAUUAACAUGGUAUCAAAGCUAGUUCGAUCCAUGUCCUUUGAUUUGUUGGUUGAAGAUUUUGUAGCAGGCACCUAUUGCGCGGAUCGAACUCCGCGGUGAGUUCGCUGGGGGGUACGGGGGGCAGCGCGCCCCCGUCCGGGGUUCGGGGCGGAGCCCCGAAUUUUUUUUGAGGUGCUGCUGUAUUCGUUUGCUAUUUUCGUUGGGUUUUUUGGUUGGAUUGAUUCGUUGCUGUCUUCGUUUGCUGUCUGGUAUUGUUCGUCUUUCGUUCUUUUGCUUGCUG
This 389-nucleotide long non-coding RNA is filed under the name Capsicum annuum. Its description in RNAcentral is "long non-coding RNA (CANN_LNC007017)". The record is from RNAcentral. Lineage: Eukaryota; Viridiplantae; Streptophyta; Magnoliopsida; Solanales; Solanaceae.